This 491-nucleotide ribosomal RNA is filed under the name uncultured bacterium. RNAcentral describes it as "partial 16S ribosomal RNA". It matches the Rfam family "Bacterial small subunit ribosomal RNA", at positions 29 to 506 of the family's 1533-position model. The record is from RNAcentral.
AGUGAACGCUGGCGGUAGGCCUAACACAUGCAAGUCGAACGGCAGCACAGUAAGAGCCUGCUCUUACGGGUGGCGAGUGGCGGACGAGUGAGGAAUACAUCGGAAUCUACUUUUUCGUGGGGGAUAACGUAGGGAAACUUACGCUAAUACCGCAUACGACCUACGGGUGAAAGCAGGGGAUCUUCGGACCUUGCGCGAUUGAAUGAGCCGAUGUCGGAUUAGCUAGUUGGCGGGGUAAAGGCCCACCAAGGCGACGAUCCGUAGCUGGUCUGAGAGGAUGAUCAGCCACACUGGAACUGAGACACGGUCCAGACUCCUACGGGAGGCAGCAGUGGGGAAUAUUGGACAAUGGGCGCAAGCCUGAUCCAGCCAUACCGCGUGGGUGAAGAAGGCCUUCGGGUUGUAAAGCCCUUUUGUUGGGAAAGAAAAGCAGCAGGUUAAUACCCCGCUGUUCUGACGGUACCCAAAGAAUAAGCACCGGCUAACUUCGU